GCUUAAUUACCGGAUAGGUCCGAAAGAUGAAAGGUUAACUUGCCUGAAGAAGGAAGCUCGCGUCUGAUUAGCUAGUAGGUGUGGUAAGAGCGCACCUAGGCGACGAUCAGUAGCUGGUCUGAGAGGAUGAGCAGCCACACUGGGACUGAGACACGGCCCAGACUCCUACGGGAGGCAGCAGUGGGGAAUUUUCCGCAAUGGGCGAAAGCCUGACGGAGCAAGACCGCGUGGGGGAGGAAGGCCUUUGGGUUGUAAACCCCUUUUGUUAGGGAAGAAAAAAAUGACGGUACCUAACGAAUCAGCCUCGGCUAACUCCGUGCCAGCAGCCGCGGUAAUACGGAGGAGGCAAGCGUUAUCCGGAAUUAUUGGGCGUAAAGCGUCCGUAGGUGGCCCGGCAAGUCUGCUGUCAAAGACCACAGCUCAACUGUGGAAAGGCAGUGGAAACUGCAAGGCUAGAGUGCGGUAGGGGUAGAGGGAAUUCCCAGUGUAGCGGUGAAAUGCGUAGAGAUUGGGAAGAACACCGGUGGCGAAAGCGCUCUACUGGGCCGCAACUGACACUGAUGGACGAAAGCUAGGGGA
Molecule: ribosomal RNA, 579 nt
Filed under: Oscillatoriales cyanobacterium
Lineage: Bacteria; Bacillati; Cyanobacteriota; Cyanophyceae; Oscillatoriales
Description: bacterial SSU rRNA
Rfam family: Bacterial small subunit ribosomal RNA
Source: RNAcentral